GACGAACGCUGGCGGCGUGCCUAAUACAUGCAAGUAGAACGCUGAAGAGAGGAGCUUGCUCUUCUUGGAUGAGUUGCGAACGGGUGAGUAACGCGUAGGUAACCUGCCUGGUAGCGGGGGAUAACUAUUGGAAACGAUAGCUAAUACCGCAUGAUAUUAAUUGUCGCAUGAUAAUUAAUUGAAAGAUGCAAUUGCAUCACUACCAGAUGGACCUGCGUUGUAUUAGCUAGUUGGUGAGGUAACGGCUCACCAAGGCGACGAUACAUAGCCGACCUGAGAGGGUGAUCGGCCACACUGGGACUGAGACACGGCCCAGACUCCUACGGGAGGCAGCAGUAGGGAAUCUUCGGCAAUGGGGGGAACCCUGACCGAGCAACGCCGCGUGAGUGAAGAAGGUUUUCGGAUCGUAAAGCUCUGUUGUAAGAGAAGAACGGGUGUGAGAGUGGAAAGUU
This 452-nucleotide ribosomal RNA is filed under the name Streptococcus sanguinis. Its description in RNAcentral is "bacterial SSU rRNA". It matches the Rfam family "Bacterial small subunit ribosomal RNA", at positions 28 to 470 of the family's 1533-position model. Lineage: Bacteria; Bacillati; Bacillota; Bacilli; Lactobacillales; Streptococcaceae. The record is from RNAcentral.